GACGAACGCUGGCGGCGUGCCUAAUACAUGCAAGUAGAACGCUGAAGGAGGAGCUUGCUCUUCUGGAUGAGUUGCGAACGGGUGAGUAACGCGUAGGUAACCUGCCUGGUAGCGGGGGAUAACUAUUGGAAACGAUAGCUAAUACCGCAUAAAAUUGAUUAUUGCAUGAUAGUCAAUUAAAAGGUGCAAUUGCAUCACUACCAGAUGGACCUGCGUUGUAUUAGCUAGUUGGUGAGGUAACGGCUCACCAAGGCAACGAUACAUAGCCGACCUGAGAGGGUGAUCGGCCACACUGGGACUGAGACACGGCCCAGACUCCUACGGGAGGCAGCAGUAGGGAAUCUUCGGCAAUGGACGGAAGUCUGACCGAGCAACGCCGCGUGAGUGAAGAAGGUGUUCGGAUCGUAAAGCUCUGUUGUAAGAGAAGAACGAGUGUGAGAGUGGAAAGUUCACACUGUGACGGUAUCUUACCAGAAAGGGACGGCUAACUACGU
This 494-nucleotide ribosomal RNA is filed under the name uncultured bacterium. RNAcentral's name for it is "partial 16S ribosomal RNA". It matches the Rfam family "Bacterial small subunit ribosomal RNA", at positions 28 to 506 of the family's 1533-position model. The record is from RNAcentral.